This 253-nucleotide ribosomal RNA is filed under the name uncultured bacterium. Its description in RNAcentral is "partial 16S ribosomal RNA". It matches the Rfam family "Bacterial small subunit ribosomal RNA", at positions 524 to 776 of the family's 1533-position model. The record is from RNAcentral.
UACGAAGGGAGCUAGCGUUGUUCGGAAUUACUGGGCGUAAAGCGCGCGUAGGUGGUUAUACAAGUCAGAGGUGAAAUCCCACGGCUCAACCGUGGAACUGCCUUUGAAACUGUAUAGCUUGAGUUCGGAAGAGGAGAGUGGAAUUCCUAAUGUAGAGGUGAAAUUCGUAGAUAUUAGGAGGAACACCAGUGGCGAAGGCGACUCUCUGGUCCGAUACUGACACUGAGGCGCGAAAGCGUGGGUAGCAAACAGG